Molecule: long non-coding RNA, 1353 nt
Filed under: Piliocolobus tephrosceles (Ugandan red Colobus)
Lineage: Eukaryota; Metazoa; Chordata; Mammalia; Primates; Cercopithecidae
Description: lncRNA (ENSPTEG00000031302.1)
Source: RNAcentral
GCCUCAGCCUCCCAAUGUGCUGGGAUUACAGGUGUGAGUCACAACUCCCGGCCCAUCCAUGGUAUUUUUUAGUUGGAGCUGGACUCUGUGUGCCUGAGCUGAUCCCCCUGAAAUGCUCUCCUCCUCUUGCAGACUCGUGGUCUGAGCUUAGUCCUGCUGUGAGGACACCAUCCAGUGGCAGAAGGCACUAGCCGGUUGCUGUGGUAUGUGAAAGUGGCUCAACUCCAAGGUAGAAUACCAUAAAGCUAUUUCUAGAAGGAUUCAGGACUUGUGAUGGACUUCAGUCAUUUGUCAUAUGUCAAAAUUAAAGAAGAAAAUAUCAGUGACCACUUCACAGAGGGAGACAUCUUCUCUCCUAUUUCUUGGAGCUGUCCCGACAGGAAUCUUCAUGUGGAUGGCCCUGGCCAGCUACAGCUCCUCGGUUUGCACCGCACACUGAUGUUGGACUAGAAGGAGAUGUCCACCUUUCUCCAAGUGAGGCUUCUCUUCCAGUCUGAUUUCCCAGUGACAAGGGUGGUAAUGGGAAUAGCGAGAGUUCCUGCCGUUUGGGAAAAGAGUUUCUCAGGCAUUUAUGUCUAAGUUUUAAGAUAGCCAGUCAUCGUGGCUAGGCUUUAUAAUUUUCUUGGCUGGCAUUAUGAUGUGCUAAAAUUGGACAACUUUGGUUUCACCUUCAGCUUGCUGAGGUUUCCAGAGCAGAGCUGAAAUUGCUGCGCACACUUAGAAUUCAAAUUUGGAAAGACAGAAAAAGUCUUCACUUUCAUCAUAGUCAAUAUUUCAAGACUCAUUAGGGAAAAUCUUGAAAUUUAGAGAUUUUUCUUUUCCAGAAGGAGAGUGCCUCAACUUUUCAGAAUUUUUAAAUACAGUUUUUAGUAGCUCACCCAGGGCAAAGUCCUAUGUUCUGUAUACAGGCUAGGUGAGUCAUGACGAAGCCUGGCUGUUUAGGUCAACCCAUCUCUAAUAAGGCAAGAGCUGGAGGCAAACAUCCCACAGUUCAGAAAUGCGGAUAUAUACUGCUAUGGUUUGAAUUUACGUGUCUCUCCCAAAAUCCUAUGUUGGAACUUAAACCCGAAUGUGAUAGUAGUAAGAGGUGAGGCCUCUAGGAGGUGAUUAAGUCAUCAGGGCAAAACUCUCAUGAAUGGGAUUAGAGACCUUAUAAAAGGACUUCAGGGAACCAGUUAGGCCCUUUUUGCCCUACCAUCUUCGUGAGGACAUGGUGUUCAACUCCUCUGGAGAACACAGCAAAGGCGCCAUCUUGGAAACAGAGACCAGGCUCUCAGCAUACAUCAAACCUGCUGUUGCCUUGAUCUUGGACUCCCAGCCACCAGAACUCUGAGAAAUAAGUUUUUAUUAUUU